UGGUAAGGAUUUGAUUUAGGCUUUAAUAUUUGGAUUAGGAUUUGGUUUAGGAUUUAGGAUUUGUAUUAGGAUUUGGUUUAGGGUUUGGUUAGGGUUUGAUUUAGGAUUUAGUUGGGAUUUGGUUUAAGAUUUGUUUAGGAUUUGAUUUAGGAAUUGAUUAGGGUUUUAUUUAGAAUUUGGAUUAGAGUUUGAUUUAGGAUUUAGGAUUAGGAUUAGGAUUUGGUUAGGGUUUGAUUUAAGGUUUAGGAUUUGGUUUAGGAUUUGGUUAGGGUUUGAUUAGGAUUUGAUUUAGUAUUUGAUUUGAAUUUGGUUUAAGGUUUAUUUAGGAUUUGAUUUAGGGUUUAGGAUUUUAUUAGGAUUUAAGAUUCAGUUAGUUUUGGCCUAAAGUUUGAAUGAAGUUCAAUAGGAUUUUAACUAGAAUUAAAUUAAAAUUGAAUUGAGAUGUAUUUGAGUGAUAUUUGUGAUCCUUCUAAUAUUUCUUUAAGAAUUCUUAUUGUUUGUUUGAAAUUUCUUU
RNAcentral lists this long non-coding RNA (514 nucleotides) under Physcomitrium patens. Its description in RNAcentral is "long non-coding RNA (PPAT_LNC005777)". Lineage: Eukaryota; Viridiplantae; Streptophyta; Bryopsida; Funariales; Funariaceae. The record is from RNAcentral.